This 410-nucleotide ribosomal RNA is filed under the name uncultured beta proteobacterium. Its description in RNAcentral is "bacterial SSU rRNA". It matches the Rfam family "Bacterial small subunit ribosomal RNA", at positions 1 to 405 of the family's 1533-position model. The record is from RNAcentral. Lineage: Bacteria; Pseudomonadati; Pseudomonadota; Betaproteobacteria.
GAAUUCACUAGUGAUUGAGUUUGAUCCUGGCUCAGAUUGAACGCUGGCGGCAUGCCUUACACAUGCAAGUCGAACGGCAGCGCGGACUUCGGUGGCUGACGAGUGGCGAACGGGUGAGUAAUACAUCGGAACGUGCACCAAGAAUGGGGGAUAACGCAGCGAAAGCUGUGCUAAUACCGCAUACGAUCUACGGAUGAAAGCAGGGGACCGCAAGGCCUUGCGCUCAUGGAGCGGCCGAUGGCAGAUUAGGUAGUUGGUGGGAUAAAAGCUUACCAAGCCGACGAUCUGUAGCUGGUCUGAGAGGACGACCAGCCACACUGGGACUGAGACACGGCCCAGACUCCUACGGGAGGCAGCAGUGGGGAAUUUUGGACAAUGGGCGAAAGCCUGAUCCAGCCAUGCCGCGUGCA